GCCUGGCUGGCUUAGUUGGUAGAGCAUGGGACUCUUGAUCUUAAGGUUGUGAGUUCGAGCCCCAUGUUGAGUG
RNAcentral lists this transfer RNA (73 nucleotides) under Canis lupus familiaris (dog). It matches the Rfam family "tRNA". Rfam says of the family: Transfer RNA (tRNA) molecules are approximately 80 nucleotides in length. Their secondary structure includes four short double-helical elements and three loops (D, anti-codon, and T loops). Lineage: Eukaryota; Metazoa; Chordata; Mammalia; Carnivora; Canidae. RNAcentral also lists the same sequence under 1 other name. The record is from Rfam by way of RNAcentral.